GAUGAACGCUGGCGGCGUGCCUAAUACAUGCAAGUCGAGCGAACAGACGAGGAGCUUGCUUCUCUGACGUUAGCGGCGGACGGGUGAGUAACACGUGGAUAACCUACCUAUAAGACUGGGAUAACUUCGGGAAACCGGAGCUAAUACCGGAUAAUAUAUUGAACCGCAUGGUUCAAUAGUGAAAGACGGUUUUGCUGUCACUUAUAGAUGGAUCCGCGCCGCAUUAGCUAGUUGGUAAGGUAACGGCUUACCAAGGCAACGAUGCGUAGCCGACGUGAGAGGGUGAUCGGCCACACGGGAGCGGAGACACGGUCCAGGCUCCUACGGGAGGCAGCAGUAGGGAAUCUGCCGCAAUGGGCGAAAGCCUGACGGAGCAACGCCGCGUGAGUGAUGAAGGUCUUCGGAGCGUAAAACUCUGUUAUUAGGGAAGAACAAAUGUGUAAGUAACUAUGCACGUCUUGACGGUACCUAAUCAGAAAGCCACGGCUAACUACGUG
Molecule: ribosomal RNA, 497 nt
Filed under: uncultured bacterium
Lineage: Bacteria
Description: partial 16S ribosomal RNA
Rfam family: Bacterial small subunit ribosomal RNA
Source: RNAcentral